RNAcentral lists this ribosomal RNA (425 nucleotides) under uncultured bacterium. RNAcentral's name for it is "bacterial SSU rRNA". It matches the Rfam family "Bacterial small subunit ribosomal RNA", at positions 954 to 1380 of the family's 1533-position model. The record is from RNAcentral.
AUGGGAACGCGAAGAACCUUACCUAGACUUGACAUCUUCUGCAUUAAUCGUAAUGGAUGAAAUCCCUUCGGGGACAGAAUGACAGGUGGUGCAUGGUUGUCGUCAGCUCGUGUCGUGAGAUGUUGGGUUAAGUCCCGCAACGAGCGCAACCCCUAUUAUUAGUUGCUAACAUUAAGUUGAGCACUCUAGUGAGACUGCCCGGGUUAACCGGGAGGAAGGUGGGGAUGACGUCAAAUCAUCAUGCCCCUUAUGUCUAGGGCUACACACGUGCUACAAUGGUGGGAACAAAGAGAUGCAAGACCGCGAGGUGGAGCUAAACUCAAAACCCCAUCCCAGUUCGGAUUGUAGGCUGAAACUCGCCUACAUGAAGCUGGAGUUGCUAGUAAUCGCGAAUCAGAAUGUCGCGGUGAAUACGUUCCCGGGUC